UCGGUUCGGACAUCGGUUUUUUCGGUUCGGUUAUUGGGUAUAAAUUAAAUUCCGGAUUAAACCGAUUUUUUUUCUAAUUCGGUUAAUUUGAACCAAAUAAACCACAAAUUAAAAAAAUGGACUUACAAAAAUGAAAUCUAAUAAAAAACAAACAACAGGCCCAAUACACAAAUAUACAGUUACAAUUACAAAUCCACAACACAAUUAUGGGUCAGGUCCAUUACAAAAUUAGGGUUUUGAGUUUUGACAAAAAAAAUAUGUACGACUACAACUCCAAACUGCGACGUCGAGCAGUGCCUCUCCAAUCUAGUGAUCUACCAUUCCGACGACGUAAUGCCCUACGAGACCUGUUAAACGCCCGUUUGUUAUCCAUGAAGUAAGAAAAAACAUGAGAUGGAAGUGUAAACCAUAAAAGAUCCAUAAAAAUAAUGGAUAAUCUCAGAUUUGGAAGUGUAAAGCCUAACUCUAAAAUUUCAGAAAUUAUAGAGACAGAGGAAGAGCUUAGAGAGCAAAGAAUCAAACAAAACAAAUGAUUAAAGAGAAAUAAGAAGAGUUUACCCUAAGAAAGUUGAGGUUGUGGGUUGAAUCUCUGAGCAAAGGUUUUUUGUAAGACCAACUGAGAUUAGAGAGAAUGAAAGAGGCUUGGAAGAUGAUGAAUUCAUGAAGGAGAAGAGACGAGUUGAUGAUUACUAAUUCAAUCGAAGAAAAAUAUCAAAGUUUCUUUGUUGUUUUCGCAAGAGGCAGAGAGCCAAAAACGAAGAAGAAACCUAAUUAGGUUAAGACUCAUCAAUUAACCUUAUAUAUGGCUGCAGAUUCUCGGUAUGGGUGAAACCGAUUGGU
Molecule: long non-coding RNA, 840 nt
Filed under: Arabidopsis thaliana (thale cress)
Lineage: Eukaryota; Viridiplantae; Streptophyta; Magnoliopsida; Brassicales; Brassicaceae
Description: long non-coding RNA (ATHA_LNC000647)
Source: RNAcentral